This 236-nucleotide ribosomal RNA is filed under the name uncultured bacterium. Its description in RNAcentral is "partial 16S ribosomal RNA". It matches the Rfam family "Bacterial small subunit ribosomal RNA", at positions 100 to 334 of the family's 1533-position model. The record is from RNAcentral.
CCGGCACGGGUGAGUAACACGUAUCCAACCUGCCGUCUACUCUUGGACAGCCUUCUGAAGGAAGAUUAAUACAAGAUGGCAUCAUGAGUCCGCAUGUUCACAUGAUUAAAGGUAUUCCGGUAGACGAUGGGGAUGCGUUCCAUUAGUUUGUUGGCGGGGUAACGGCCCACCAAGACUACGAUGGAUAGGGGUUCUGAGAGGAAGGUCCCCCACAUUGGAACUGAGACACGGUCCAA